CUCCACCGGAAAAAGAGGAGUGGCGAACGGGUGAGUAACACGUGGGUAACCUGCCCAUCAGAAGGGGAUACACUUGGAAACAGGUGCUAAUACCGUAUAACAAUCNAAACCGCAUGGUUUUGAUUUGAAAGGCGCUUUCGGGUGUCGCUGAUGGAUGGACCCGCGGUGCAUUAGCUAGUUGGUGAGGUAACGGCUCACCAAGGCCACGAUGCAUAGCCGACCUGAGAGGGUGAUCGGCCACAUUGGGACUGAGACACGGCAAACUCCUACGGGAGGCAGCAGUAGGGAAUCUUCGGCAAUGGACGAAAGUCUGACCGAGCAACGCCGCGUGAGUGAAGAAGGUUUUCG
This 348-nucleotide ribosomal RNA is filed under the name Enterococcus faecium. RNAcentral's name for it is "bacterial SSU rRNA". It matches the Rfam family "Bacterial small subunit ribosomal RNA", at positions 75 to 420 of the family's 1533-position model. Lineage: Bacteria; Bacillati; Bacillota; Bacilli; Lactobacillales; Enterococcaceae. The record is from RNAcentral.